Molecule: long non-coding RNA, 2693 nt
Organism: Macaca mulatta (Rhesus monkey)
Lineage: Eukaryota; Metazoa; Chordata; Mammalia; Primates; Cercopithecidae
Source: RefSeq, a predicted model, not a curated record
UCAGCUUCCCAAAGUGCUGGGAUUACAGGUGUGAGCCACUGCACCCAGCCUGUUUAAAUGCCAACUUUAUAAAACUAAGAUUAGUUGUAAAGGACAUUUUAGAGAUGGCUUUCAACAUAAGUUGGGUAGCAGAUUUAUAACAAAGUUCUGGCUGAAUUUAGAAUAGUAAUAAGCUGAGUAAUAAUACUCAACAGGGAAUCUCGGAUAACUUCAAGGCAACUUUUGGAGUCUUGAAGUUUCAAUCUAGAAAUUCCUUAUCCUCUCAACAUUAUGUCUGCCAAGCCUACAUACCAAGAAACCUGGUCCUGGGAUGUUCUAGACAACAAGAAGUUCCAUUUAACCACCUUCCUUUAAAGCCAAGGACCAGGCUUAGGAAGCCAGCUUCUUGCUUUCUCUCUUCAAGCCCCUACCUGGGUGCUUCUGGAGUAUGAGAAUCAAGGUACCCAGAAAAAAGAAACCAGAAACCCAAAUUGGAGAGAAUUUAGACCUUAAAAUCUUCUGGGCUCAAAGAUUUUCUCAUUAGUAUCUACCUUCUGAUCAUAAAGGUCCCAGAAAACUCAAAACAUGUCUUGCAGAUCUGAAGCCACCCCGCAUCUCCAGUGUUAGAGUAGCUCAAUCCCCUGUUGUUUUCUACGUUCCUCUCCUUUUCUUCUACUGUGUUUGCCCACACCUCCCACAUCUCCACCAUAUCCAGCCUGGGAAAGGUGCAGCCAUGGCUGGGUAGGGGAAGGAAAAGGAGGGGUGAUGUGCUGUGCCGUCCCUGAAGCCUCAGCCCCAGAGUGGGGUAUUCUUCUAUCUCCUAAUCCUUACAUUUCUGCAGUGGUUCCUGUCUCUAAACUCUGCAUGUCUCCCUCCACAGUGUUUCUUGAUGACAUGAGAGUUUUAUCUGAGAAACAUGAGAAAACUGGCCAGUAAGCCCCUCAACCCCAAACCACACCCACUUUGUGUCACAGCACAAUUAGUACGAAGUCCCAGUGUUUGUGUCUGCAGGUUACAGUAUUGUUUGCCACCUGCCUUUGGGAGAGGCAGACCUCCUUCAGAGUCUAUCAGCGGCAACUUAUUGUUUGUCUCUUCUAUUUGAAUAUUUAAUAUGGAUACAUUGAUAAUUUUAAUUUAAAAUAACUUUCUGCAUUACUUCACAACCUGUUUCUUUUUUUCAGUUUGUGGUAAUAUGUUGAGAAUAGUAUGUGAUACCCAUAGUGGGAGGGAGGAGUAGAUUCCUUUUAAGGCAGUUAGAGGAACUCCUUGUUGUUCAGACCAGCACCAAGGCAAGAAUCAGUGACAAUUUUUCACUGGUAGUGCCCCAAACUUGCCCUGCAAAGCUUAAAAGGAGACACUCCUCUAUGAGGUCCACUGCUUGAAUCCAAUGCAUAUGCUAUGCUUAGUGGAGUGUGUUUAGAGCUCCUUCUUCCAACAUGCCAAAAAAAAAGAAAAAAAAGAUGCUCAUGCUACUUCUUGCUUUCUGUCUAUUUCUUUCUUGCCCUCAGGCUUAAAAGUAAGCAUGAUGGAGAACAAGAGAGAAGGCGUGCCCUGGCAACCAUUGCCAGGAAACAGAUUUCACUGAAGUCAUAAAUUAGAAAGAUAACCCACUUAUCGGAGGUGAGAGGGACCCAUCACAGGCCUGCAGUGAUUCCGAUGACUCACAGGAAAGCAGUCCAGCUUGUUUGGCCAGUUCUUGGGUUAUUGGACAGUCAUCAAUAGCUUUGAAGCUACUGAAGUCUCCUCUGGUGCCCUGAAGCUUCAUUACUUCCGCGAAAUUCAGAGAGAGUGUUCGUGAUCAUGCAACAGAUACACCCACAGCCAGUGAGUUUCAAAGCCAAAGGAAAACAACAGGCCUUUGAUUAGGCUGUACCUACUCCAGUGCAGAAGGGCACUGCAGCAGCUGGGGGAGCCUGGCUGCACCACCUCUUUUCAUUCUCCAGAGAGUGACAAUCUUGCAGUGAAGAAUAAUUCAAUGGAAAUUCAGAGCUGUGUCCCCAACCACCAACCAUCAGGAAGUACAGAUGCUCAGACAUUUGCUGUGACUUCUUCCCAAAGGCAAGGUAACAUGUCAUUGCCAAGGAUUACAUUCAAAUGACCUGUAAUAUGGUUUUCUGGUGGAGGGAAGAACUGAAGGUAAUACUAGUUCAUCAGAGAAUGCUGAGUGGAGAAUUGCAGUGGUAGGGAGAUGAGAGAGCUGUGGAUCUUAAGGCAAGAUGACAGGCUCAGAAGUCAACAGCCUCAAGCAGAAGCAUGCAGGGUUCCGGGAUGAGAAACAUGACUCAGCAUUUAUCCUUUCCUGUAAAACAUAGCAACUUGUUAAGGCUGCAUUUGAAAUUUUACUCUAAGGCCAGUGAUAAUAUCUAAAUUACGGUCAUGACAUGCAUAACUUGAUAUCAAGUAGAAUAGAAAUAUUUCCUAAAAUUAAAGAAAUUACAACCAAACUCAAGCCUAUCAUUUCUGUAUUCAACGACAGUCACAAAAGUAUGAAUAUCUAUGGGGAAUUAUAAUGAAUCUACAAUUUCUCUGGCCAGUUCUAUUUCUUUUAGAAUGUCAAGCAGCAUUUGAUUUAUGAUAAUGGCUCAGAUUUUCAAGAUUAAAUUCAUGUUGGUAUACUGUCUUUUAAAGCAUGAAAACCCAUUUGCUACAGAAUGAUAUAAUCAUGAUCUGCAGUAUAAAUGAAAAGGCUUUAUGCUGGCAAAAAAAAAAAAAAA